Molecule: ribosomal RNA, 460 nt
Filed under: uncultured bacterium
Lineage: Bacteria
Description: partial 16S ribosomal RNA
Rfam family: Bacterial small subunit ribosomal RNA
Source: RNAcentral
CCUACGGGUGGCAGCAGUGAGGAAUAUUGGUCAAUGGACGCAAGUCUGAACCAGCCAUGCCGCGUGCAGGAAGACGGCUCUAUGAGUUGUAACCUGCUUUUUUACGAGGGUAAACGCAGAUACGCGUAUCUGUCUGAACGUAUCGUACGAAUAAGGAUCGGCUAACUACGUGCCAGCAGCCGCGGUAAUACGGAGGAUUCAAGCGUUAUCCGGAUUUAUUGGGUGUAAAGGGUGCGUAGGCGGGCGGAUAAGUUAGAGGUGAAAUCCCGAGGCUCAACCUCGGAAUUGCCUCUGAUACUGUUCGGCUAGAGAGUAGUAGCGGUAGGCGGAAUGUAUGGUGUAGCGGUGAAAUGCUUAGAGAUCAUACAGAACACCGAUUGCGAAGGCAGAUUACCAAGCUACUUCUGACGUUGAGGCACGAAAGCGUGGGGAGCAAACAGGAUUAGAUACCCUGGUAGUC